UACGUAGGGUGCAAGCGUUAAUCGGAAUUACUGGGCGUAAAGCGUGCGCAGGCGGUUUUGUAAGUCUGUCGUGAAAGCCCCGGGCUCAACCUGGGAAUUGCGAUGGAGACUGCAAGGCUUGAAUCUGGCAGAGGGGGGUAGAAUUCCACGUGUAGCAGUGAAAUGCGUAGAGAUGUGGAGGAACACCGAUGGCGAAGGCAGCCCCCUGGGUCAAGAUUGACCCUCAUGCACGAAAGCGUGGGGAGCAAACAGG
Molecule: ribosomal RNA, 253 nt
Filed under: uncultured bacterium
Lineage: Bacteria
Description: partial 16S ribosomal RNA
Rfam family: Bacterial small subunit ribosomal RNA
Source: RNAcentral